CGAGAAUGUAGGUGUGUAAACUUCAAAUAUCUGCUUGUUUUAUCAAGACAUCCCAUAUUUAGCGACAGUGCUCUGACAACGUUGGUCCUGCCUGACAGCUAGCCGGCUACCUAGCUAGCUGCCGCACUUGGCUGCAAAUGGAUAGCGAGGGGACUCUCUCUGUCGUUUCACCUCCCCGGUCUCUCGCAAAUGCUCGCACAGAAUCGGAGUUACAGCUGGAUGUGGAAAAAAUAACUGAGUUGUUUGGUGGUGCUAUAACGCGGAGCUACAACAGUGGGCAGCUAUCCACCGGUGUAUGACAGAAAGGACAUGCGGCGACCGCCGAUCGACCGGUGUUUGCUAACGCGGAGGUCAAUCGUGGAUCAGGGAAAGCGAAGGCAGGAGCGUGAGGUGAACUGAAUUUCAGGCAUCCAAAAGGCAUCCAAAAGGCAGUGGCGGCGACACCUGUGGAGGAAAUCCAAAGCCCGACCGUGCGGAAGGCAGAUGGCGGUGACAGAGGCGACCCCGUUCAGGGGGCCACCCUCGACGGCGAUGACGUCCAGCUAGAGGCCUGGAAGAUGGCCGGCAAAGGCGAGGUGGUUCAGGCUGAGCUGGAUCGGGCAGCGGUGUAGAGGCGGCAGAGGCUGGACCAGGCGAGGAUGCUCGGGGCCAGGCGGCAGCGUGGCAGCUGUGGAUGGUGACGCUGCAGGCUCGCGCCACUGGCCCACGCACCUGUGUUCAAUCUCCACACCUGCCACUGAUCUCCACUCAUCCUGAAGCCCUACUUAAGACAGCAGCGCUUUGCUACUCAUCGCUGGAUCGUUGAGCAAAAGAUUUCUGAGACAUGUCAUGAAAGAAUGAACAAAAAAUUGAUAUAGACAAACACUGUUCCUCGGUGCACAACACGGUCAGUGUUUAAAGUAGUGUAAACUGGUUUCUUUGACAUUAAUGUGUUGAUGCAGGUAAAUAAACACACAGGUGACAGUUUCUGUUUAUUGUGGUUUGAAGGCAUGCAGUGAAAAUCUAUAAAUGUGUUUAGUCAUGGAUCAGAUUCAGAGUAGCCCAUUAUAGAACUCACGAGUCUGUUCAACACACGAACCAGCUGAUUUUGUAUUCAACCAGUAAGAAUGACGACUAGGAUCAGGAUCCCACCUCAUUCAUUGGAAAACAGAGUAGGACCUGAAAAAAGCAAGAUGAACAGACUCAAUAACAAACUUGUAUCCACAUUGUGAAAACACUUCUGGAUAAAACAUUAACAAUAAUGAUUUGGUUAAAAUCCC
Molecule: long non-coding RNA, 1259 nt
Organism: Oreochromis aureus
Lineage: Eukaryota; Metazoa; Chordata; Actinopteri; Cichliformes; Cichlidae
Source: Ensembl